This 286-nucleotide unclassified non-coding RNA is filed under the name Hevea brasiliensis (rubber tree). The record is from RNAcentral. Lineage: Eukaryota; Viridiplantae; Streptophyta; Magnoliopsida; Malpighiales; Euphorbiaceae.
ACAAAGAAAGUUGAAAGUUCCCACUAAAACUGGAAAAAGGAAUUUGACAUUUAUCAACACAAUCUCUCUCUGACUACACUCAAUUAAAGAGGAAAAAGAAAGAAAGAAAGGGGAUAAAAAAAGACACUACCAUAACUAACCCACAAACGAAACUUGCUUGGAAAAUCAAUUUGCUUCACAAACUCAGUUUAAUCUCAUCUGCUUAACUCGGUCUCGUGUAAUUGAAACAGGAUUUGUCUAAGGUUGAAUGACAAACAAAGGCAUAUCGACGCUGACGGGCUUCCCG